This 253-nucleotide ribosomal RNA is filed under the name uncultured bacterium. RNAcentral's name for it is "partial 16S ribosomal RNA". It matches the Rfam family "Bacterial small subunit ribosomal RNA", at positions 524 to 776 of the family's 1533-position model. The record is from RNAcentral.
UACAGAGGUGGCAAGCGUUGUUCGGAAUUACUGGGCGUAAAGGGCGCGUAGGCGGUCUUUUAAGUUCCGUGUGAAAUCCCUCGGCUUAACUGGGGAACGGCACGGGAAACUGGAAGGCUUGAGUUCGGGAGAGGGAAGCGGAAUUCCGGGUGUAGCGGUGAAAUGCGUAGAUAUCGGGAGGAACACCAGUGGCGAAGGCGACUACCUGGCCCAUUCUUGACGCUGAGGCGCGAAAGCUAGGGGAGCGAACGGG